RNAcentral lists this ribosomal RNA (426 nucleotides) under uncultured bacterium. RNAcentral describes it as "bacterial SSU rRNA". It matches the Rfam family "Bacterial small subunit ribosomal RNA", at positions 29 to 455 of the family's 1533-position model. The record is from RNAcentral.
AGUGAACGCUGGCGGCAGGCCUAACACAUGCAAGUCGAACGGCAGCACAGCAGUAGCAAUACUGUGGGUGGCGAGUGGCGGACGGGUGAGGAAUACAUCGGAAUCUGCCUAGUCGUGGGGGAUAACGUAGGGAAACUUACGCUAAUACCGCAUACGACCUACGGGUGAAAGCGGGGGAUCGCAAGACCUCGCGCGAUUAGAUGAGCCGAUGUCCGAUUAGCUAGUUGGCGGGGUAAUGGCCCACCAAGGCGACGAUCGGUAGCUGGUCUGAGAGGAUGAUCAGCCACACUGGAACUGAGACACGGUCCAGACUCCUACGGGAGGCAGCAGUGGGGAAUAUUGGACAAUGGGCGCAAGCCUGAUCCAGCCAUGCCGCGUGGGUGAAGAAGGCCUGGUUGUAAGCCUUUGUCGAAGAAAGACACUGGA